Molecule: ribosomal RNA, 253 nt
Filed under: uncultured bacterium
Lineage: Bacteria
Description: partial 16S ribosomal RNA
Rfam family: Bacterial small subunit ribosomal RNA
Source: RNAcentral
UACGUAGGGUGCAAGCGUUGUCCGGAAUUAUUGGGCGUAAAGGGCUCGUAGGCGGUCCAUCGCGUCGGGAGUGAAAAGCUGGGGCUCAACCCCAGUCCUGCUUCCGAUACGGGUGGACUAGAGGUAGGCAGGGGAGAACGGAAUUCCUGGUGUAGCGGUGAAAUGCGCAGAUAUCAGGAGGAACACCUGUGGCGAAAGCGGCGCACUGGACCACAACUGACGCUGAGGCGCGAAAGCUAGGGGAGCAAACAGG